AGUGAACGCUGGCGGUAGGCCUAACACAUGCAAGUCGAACGGCAGCACAGUAAGAGCUUGCUCUUACGGGUGGCGAGUGGCGGACGGGUGAGGAAUACAUCGGAAUCUACUUUUUCGUGGGGGAUAACGUAGGGAAACUUACGCUAAUACCGCAUACGACCUACGGGUGAAAGCAGGGGAUCUUCGGACCUUGCGCGAUUGAAUGAGCCGAUGUCGGAUUAGCUAGUUGGCGGGGUAAAGGCCCACCAAGGCGACGAUCCGUAGCUGGUCUGAGAGGAUGAUCAGCCACACUGGAACUGAGACACGGUCCAGACUCCUACGGGAGGCAGCAGUGGGGAAUAUUGGACAAGGGGCGCAAGCCUGAUCCAGCCAUACCGCGUGGGUGAAGAGGGCCUUCGGGUUGUAAAGCCCUUUUGUUGGGAAAGAAAAGCAGCAGGUUAAUACCCCGCUGUUCUGACGGUACCCAAAGAAUAAGCACCGGCUAACUUCGU
Molecule: ribosomal RNA, 491 nt
Filed under: uncultured bacterium
Lineage: Bacteria
Description: partial 16S ribosomal RNA
Rfam family: Bacterial small subunit ribosomal RNA
Source: RNAcentral